AACCCAUGGUAAGGGCAAUAUCUCAAUAAGUCCUUAUACCUCUCUUAUGCAUCGUAUAAGGUCUCUAAGUCGAUCUGAACGAAGGAAGAGAUACGAUUCCUCAACUU
Non-coding RNA from Gossypium raimondii (Peruvian cotton), 107 nucleotides. The record is from Rfam. Lineage: Eukaryota; Viridiplantae; Streptophyta; Magnoliopsida; Malvales; Malvaceae.